UCGCCUGACUCUGACCACCUGUCAUCAUCAACAGCAGCAGCAGCAGCACUAGCAACACCAAGUCUAUAUAACUCAUUCCCUUGCCUCCGAAGGCUAAGUGUUAGCUUUUGUCCCAAUAUAAGAGAUUUAUUACCCAUCCUUCCCUGGGAGCCCCUCCAAUCAUUAUAAACCCAACUUACCCAAUGAUAGCACAAUGGUGCCACAAGAAGGGAGGAGAAGAGUGGUCCAAGAUUGGCCGAAUCCCUAUUUUAAGGAUAGAUGGUAUAUGGGUAAUGAUACACAACAAAUGGCAAUAAAGCCUUACCACCACCUCUGGGCAUGCCCUCUCAUAGUAGAACCCAUGGAUGGAGUACUAAAGAGCUAAUGUGUCUAUUCACAUGAGGAGAACGACUCAACAAGCAUCCAAGGCAUAUUAUUAUUAUGGGAAUUACUCAAAUGGAAUGUUCUCUUUUAAAAGGUUCAAGAAUCUCGACCUGGAAAUUGCGAGGAACUUUUAAGCUACUAACUGCCUAGCACUGCAUCUAUUAGUUAUUGCUUAUCCGCAAACUUAAAGCUUUGAUUGGUCACCAAAUAAAUGGAAGUUCUGUGGUAGAAUAUGUUUUACAAGUCAGCAAGGGGAGCACUUCUACACGAGCGUGGUUUAUGCGUCAAUGUCUCACUCAACGAGAAUAUUCACUUGGGCAUCAAUCAGAAGUGAUCCAGUGAUCAUUUCUCACUCUUUGUGUCUAAACGCAGGGGCAUGCUCUUUGA
This is a long non-coding RNA of Macadamia integrifolia, 750 nucleotides long. RefSeq lists it as uncharacterized. The transcript is spliced from 3 exons. Lineage: Eukaryota; Viridiplantae; Streptophyta; Magnoliopsida; Proteales; Proteaceae. The record is from RefSeq and is a predicted model, not a curated record.